RNAcentral lists this long non-coding RNA (2740 nucleotides) under Canis lupus familiaris (dog). RNAcentral's name for it is "lncRNA (ENSCAFG00845013502.1)". The record is from RNAcentral. Lineage: Eukaryota; Metazoa; Chordata; Mammalia; Carnivora; Canidae.
UCCCAAGCUCCUCUUCAUCAAACAGGCAGCCUCCCAGGAAAGUCACAUGUCUCUGCAGACCUUGAUAGUUUCUUAGUGUGUGUAUGUCUUUUGUGAUUUGGAGAGCAUCCCAUUUAAAAUAGAAAUUCAUCUUUAUCACUUUUUUUUAGAAGCUGUAUUACAAGGUACUAGAGCCUAUACAAUAACGUGUAACAAUGCUUCACAACAGAUUCAAAAUUCGUCAAUCACUUAGUCCGUUACUACUUUCAUAUCGACUACUUUCAUAUUUACAUUUCCAUUGUAAAAUGGAAUUAAGGUGGUGUUCUAAAAACAUAUUUAAUACUCUGCUGGCAUUCUAAGUGGAUGAAUGACUAUAAUUCUACUCUGAGAGUGACAGUUUCCAUACUUAAUUAACAAGAGAAGUUGAAAACUCAGGAGGCUUUGCCUUCCCUGGAAAUUACUGAUGUUAAAGGGCAGCUUUCAUUAGAAAGGAAUACACUUAGGUCUAGUGCAUUAGUGCAGAAAAAUUAAAAUAAUCUACGUUGGUCAAAUGCUAAUAGGAAAAAUUUGUUUGAAUGUCAGUUUCUCCACCAGAAAAACCUCCGGGGUGAGCAAGUCAUCAGUGUCAUUGUUCCUAGGACCUCACUGUGGUCUGAUGAGCUUCAGUCUGUGUCCAAGGAUUCAGAUAGGGUGGGAGUCGAGAAUAUAACUUUGAAGUCCUAAGAUGCAAAGGUCAAACCUAGCUCUGCCACUGCCUUGUCCCAUUUGUUUCAGAGACUCUGGGUGUUUUUUAACAUAUGCUUUUGCCCAGCAUACUAGUAUUUAAUUUAAACGAUCAAGGAUUUCAGGGCACUGCACAGAUUUUUAGAUGGUCAUUUCAGGGAGAAAUCAAAUACAGGAAAUAAUUUACCUAGGACCCUAGAGCGAGCCAGUGUUUGAACAUGGAACCCACAGAACAUUCCUGCUUCUCAAUCCAAUUUUUCAUGUACUGUAAGGUUUAUUUUCAUGCUACCUAAAAUUGUACUACUUAUACCUCCCAUACCUCUGGAGUAUUAACCAUCGGUGUGUGUCCUGAUGAAGAAUGUUACGUGAUCCUAAAAUGCCUUUAACGUUAUAUGAGGAUUCUAUUGUUGUAACGUAAAAUCGAAAAGGAGACUGUAAACGAGGUAAUGAACAUAAUGUGACCUCUAUUUCUUGCUCCUGAGAUCUGGGGAAAUGAAGCUUUUAGCCCAACUCCUGAACAAGCAGGCUCAGCUCAUCUCUGAGGGAGGACUCCCCUCAUCAACCACUGAGCCACCCAGGCAUCCCUAGAGGUCAGUUUUAAUAAAAGCCUGUAUUUUGGGACACCUGGGUGGCUCAGCAGUUGAGUGUCUGCCUCCGGCUCAGGGUGUGAUCCCAGGGUCCUGGGAUCAAGUGCUGCAUCAGGCUCCUUGCAGGGAGCCUGCUUCUCCCUCUGCCUAUGUCUCUGCCUCUCUCUGUGUCUCUCAUGAAUAAAUAAAUAUUUUUUAAAAACCGGUAUCACAUAAUUUAACAUUAAAAUUCCUGAGGUUGAUCAAGGUAUUAUUUAUUUUAAUGACUUUUAUGGAAAUCUUUCUAACCUAAUACACGUAUUUUUGAUGCCUUUCUAAAUAGCCUAUAAAUGACUUGUUUUUAAAUUGGUAACAUAGAGGCUAAGUAUGACAAAGUAUUAAAGUAGAGUGAUGCUCUCCAGGGCUUCGUAGAGCGUCUGCAUUUACACUGAGUGGCAUUAGGCUUUGAGUGCUUCUUAACCGUUUCUCUGUCCUCUCCCACCAUCGGCACUUUUCCCUCUGUCUUUUACUCAGCCUAACAGAAACCAGACAACUAAAUCUUUUGAGAUCCUGCCUAAAAUAUGAAUGAAAGACCUUUGGGUCAUCAGAGGUAUCGGUCUGGAUAAACCAAUUUGGUGCCAUCUGACUACUCUUAUGUCUUCUUGGUUCUGAGUUGUGAUCUGGAUGCUGGGAAAGGCUGGUGGCACCUGUGACCUCCUGCCAAGGCCCUGGGUCCUGGCCUUCUGACUGGCAGGCUUUUGCUUUGUAACCAGAGCUCCCUGACACAUCUCCUUGCUGUGUCUGCUUCAGUGCUAAUUCUGUUUCAUUACCUGAGCUCCUAAUAGCUGGAAUCUUGUUGCUUCUGUGGUCUGCAGCAACCCAUACCUGCUUAGUACCUAUGAAAACUGAUGAGUGCUAGGGUUUGAAUGUUUACAUCAUGCACAGAGGCUUUCCAUUCCAAGUAAGUGCCACAAUUAUGAAAGCUGCACACAAGUAGGAAAUACGCCAGCUAAAAGAAUGGUCUAAUUUGCAGGCAGCUUACAUUGUAUUUUGUAAGAAUAUGUUUGACAUUUUAAGCUUUGCUAUGGCAGUAAAUUGUACUUCUUCUAGCAGCAGGAGUUAUUAAGUCUGUGCCCAGAAUAAACCAGACUGUUUUGAAAAGUUUAAUUUUUUUCAGUUUUCAUACCUCAUUUUAUAACUGUGUUUGUCUCUUCAGAGAUAAGCCUAUGAGGAGACACAGUCUAUUAUUUCUAAUUUUAAACAAUAAAUGCCAUUUUAUAAUCUCCUUCAAAAAAAUAUGAGUUCUGACUCAAAAUUAAAAAUAAAUAAGACAGGUGAUCCCUGGGUGGCUCAGCGGUUUAGCGCCUGCCUUCGGCCCAGGGCGUGAUCCUGGAGACCCGGGAUUGAGUCCCAUGUCGGGCUCCCUGCAUGGGACCUGCUUCUCCCUCUGCCUGUGUCUCUGCCUCUCGCUC